Molecule: long non-coding RNA, 2765 nt
Filed under: Homo sapiens (human)
Lineage: Eukaryota; Metazoa; Chordata; Mammalia; Primates; Hominidae
Description: HSALNT0087094
Source: RNAcentral
GAUAAAGCUUCCGGGUACUGGGCUUCAGAGGGAAUAGAUGAAACCUAGACCUCCACAAAAUGGAAAAUGCUAUCUGUUGGCAUACAGACUUCAGAUAAGUGAGAACUGAAGACUGAACUUAGAGCACUGUUCUUUGUUCUAAACUUCUUCUUGCGGAUCCUGGACAGUCAUGCCCAAAGUCCAGAGCAUAAUAUUCCUUUCUGCUGACCUCAAGUUUUUAGACAAACCUUCGCUUCUUUAACCAAUCACAAAUCCGAGAAUCUUUAAAUCUCCCAAUAACGUGUGACCCCUUGCUGCAAGAUGCCCCACCUCUUUAGACCAAAUAGAUGUAUAGCCUCCAUGUAUUGAGUUAUGGCUUUGCCUGUAACUCUGCCUCCUUGCCUUUAAAACCCCUGCAUGUAGGCCACUGAGGAAUUCUGGUCUUAAGCAUCCUACCUGAUUCUCCGUGCUUGGAGUCCUGAAAUAAAUGCCUCACUUUCUCUGGCUGCAAAUGCCAAUGUCAGUGUUUGGUUUUGCUCUGCCAGAUUUUUACAGAUUUUCUGGAAUAAACAUUUCUUAUUUGCUACAUGUCUUUUAGGCCAUUUUCAGAAACUCUAUACAGUUGAGUCUUUCAAAAAAUAAUUUUAACCCAUUUCCCUAGGGAGUGGGUCCAUGAGAUCCUCAUACUGUUGUGCACAAGUCUCUCCUCUGGUUGUUGAUUUUUAUGCAGAGACUGAACCUUAAUAUUCCACAUUCUAAAAAAGUUUAUUUUGAUGGAUUAUAAUUUAAGUGUGGUAAACUAUGGCCUGCUGACAAAAUCCAGCCAAACUGUUUUUGUAAAUAAAAUUUUCUAAGAACACAACCUUGCAUAAUUUGUAACAUAUAAUUUAUGGUUAUUUUUGUCCUACAAAGGCAGAGUUGAAUACUUGAGACAGAGACUGUAUGGCACAUAAUAGUACAAAUAUUUGCUAUCUGGUCCUUUGCAGAAAAAUCUUGUUGACCUCUGGAUUAGAUGAUAAUAUCCAGCAGGGUAAUAGACGGAGGGUAUCUUGUUUCUUUAUACCUCAAUGAUUUGAUGGGUACACGCAUUUACUUAUAAGUGAUCUGGCAAGAAAGAAUGUUUGUCUUCCCAAACUUUAGUUUAGAGGAUGUAAAGCUAAGCAUGACCUAAACUAUUAGACUACUGUCUUAGCACAAACGUCUUCAGAAGCACUUUUUUUUGUCAAAUUGAUUCUACUUUCUCACCUGAAAAGUUGGCCUGCUUAGGUAAGCCUAAAUACUAGGUAAGAGGUCAGAGGGCAUUAGAAAGGCACAAAAAGACAUAUUCCUGCCAUUUUAAAAGGAUUUAAAUAGAGGUAAACAUUUAUAGAAAAUAUAUUUUGCCCCUGUAAAAUGAUUUGUACACAGAAUAAAAUCAUUCAGAAAUGUGCAAAGAAGAAAGCAAAUUUCAUUCGAAGUCCUGACUUUAAUCUUCUCCAGUGGAACAGGUACAUCCUCCUGAGCCCUGGACCUCUCUCUGGUUGAUGGUCCUUGGUUUAUUCUGAGCUGGGUUUUAUUUUCCCCAAGGAAGUUGUUGUGUAAGAUCCUAAUUUCUAGUUUAGAGGUACAUUCUAAAGGGAUUUCUUAAUUGCCCUUUUCUAAAGAUAAGGAGAAUGACCCCCUUUUGAGACCCCCCACUUGGUUUCCAGUUUGAAGGUGCAUUCUAAAGGGUCUUCUCCAUUGUUUUUUCUCCCCAAAUUAAACUCAGUUGACCUGUCUGUGCAUUGGCAUGAGAAACUGAAGUGUUAUUUUCACAGAUAAAUAAGACACUGAGCUCCUCAGCUCUGAAGAAAAGGAGCAUUUUGCUCCUCUCAGCGGAAAGGCACCCCUGGGUGACCACAGGCUGAAUGGGAGUAUCUGGGGCAUUGACCCCCAUGACAUAUGGUGGCCCUACAGAGAACCUCCCCAAAAACUUAGUUCAAAAAGCCUUAUCUAGGAAACACAUGUAAGACCUGAUCACUAUGUGUUUUGGACCAUCUCAAAGGUGCUAGACCUCAAGAGAGAGAAACUGAAAUAUGUAAGAGGGCAAAAAUGAUUCAGUGGUGAAACACUGGAAUCCUGCCCACAAUCAGCACACAUUGAUCCGCCACACUAAACCCUAAGCCACAACUCAGAUACUUCUUUUAGGGAAAAAAAGGUAAGAAAGAGAAAAUCUAAGAAUGAAGAAAGAUAAUGAGAACGACCCCCUUUCAGGCACCUCAAUGGUUCUAUGGCACCUCUACUUGCAAGUGUUUGUGUAAAAUGGAAAGGUUCCAGGGCAUGCCAGUUUUUCUAGCUCUGUACAUAUCAUGGUCUGCUGUGCACACUUUAAACUCAUGGACAAAUUACAUCAAGGGAAAAUCUGGAGUCCAGAGGCUGACCUUCAACUAACUAUAGAGUUCCUAAGUUCUCUAUUUUCUUUUCUGCUGUUACUCUUCUAUUGAGAUAAAAACGACUGUUUGGAUCCAAUCACUUUUUUUUUAAACUGAUGAGUUUGUAUUAGCAUCUCAUGGCUGGAGUUCUGAAGUAAAAGCUAUAUGAUCUUUUUAUGAGUGCCUAUGUAUGUAUUUAUGUUUACAUACUGUAUUUUAUGUGUUGUUACCACAAGGUACCAAAUUGGCUUAAAGUUAAGGAGUAGUCAUAAAUUAAGUGAAUAAUAAGCCCAAAUGUUUUUUAAGUUCAUGUGACUUAACUAAAAUCUUUAAUAAAUAACCUGGCUUUAAAAUUAUUGGUAAAGUAAUAUUAGAGAUGUCUUAAGAAUUGUCAGC